GGUGAAAUUACAAGGCAUGAUCCUUGACUGACAUCUUGCCUGUUUUAGAUUAAUGAAUUCCUUUACUGUUGAAGAAAGAAGCAAUCCAAGAAAGCAUUAGAGAUAUUCUUCCAUAAAGAAGACUCAUCAACCUCACAGUUUUAUUGAUCCCACUCCUCGUACCAUUGGUAUGCCACAUUCUUUAACAGAUAAGUAGUAAAAUUCACCCUUUUCAUAUUUAUGGCCUAUAUGACCU
RNAcentral lists this long non-coding RNA (235 nucleotides) under Capsicum annuum. Its description in RNAcentral is "long non-coding RNA (CANN_LNC014136)". The record is from RNAcentral. Lineage: Eukaryota; Viridiplantae; Streptophyta; Magnoliopsida; Solanales; Solanaceae.